This 466-nucleotide ribosomal RNA is filed under the name uncultured bacterium. RNAcentral's name for it is "bacterial SSU rRNA". It matches the Rfam family "Bacterial small subunit ribosomal RNA", at positions 330 to 794 of the family's 1533-position model. The record is from RNAcentral.
UCCAGACUCUACGGGAGGCAGCAGUGAGGAAUAUUGGUCAAUGGGCUUACGCCUGAACCAGCCAAGUCGCGUGAGGGAAGACUGCCCUAUGGGUUGUAAACCUCUUUUGCCGGGGAGCAACGGGGUCCUUGCGAGGGCCCGAUGAGAGUACCCGGAGAAAAAGCAUCGGCUAACUCCGUGCCAGCAGCCGCGGUAAUACGGAGGAUGCGAGCGUUAUCCGGAUUUAUUGGGUUUAAAGGGUGCGUAGGCGGGCUGUUAAGUCAGCGGUAAAAUGUCGGGGCUCAACCCCGGCCUGCCGUUGAAACUGGCGGCCUCGAGUGGGCGAGAAGUAUGCGGAAUGCGUGGUGUAGCGGUGAAAUGCAUAGAUAUCACGCAGAACUCCGAUUGCGAAGGCAGCAUACCGGCGCCCGACUGACGCUGAGGCACGAAAGCGUGGGUAUCGAACAGGAUUAGAUACCCCAGUAGU